GAGAUAAAGCGCCCCCCCUCCUCGUCCCUGCAGCUCUGAAGCCAUAAAGAAGAGUGAGAGGGUGGAGGAGCCUCCGACAUGGCAGACAGACAGACAGGCAGACAGACAGCUCAAGGUCUCCGCUGCUGUCAGAGGAUUUGGUGGUUUCCCGUCUUUGGAUGAGUCUCCUGGUCCUUGUGUCUGGCGGUCUCCUCUCUCACCGAGGACGACAGCUCUGUUUGCACUGUGGGAUGAGGUAGUAGGUUGUAUAGUUUUAGGGUCACACCCGCACUGGGAGAUAACUAUUCAACCUACUGUCUUUCUCAAAGUGACAAACUAACUCCACAGAACAUAUUCUUGUGUUUGGAAGGCCUGUACUCUGACGUCUGUUUGAAUUGAUCAAGAUGGUUGUUACAGAGGCGGAUCCAUCACAUUUGCUCCCACAGUGUGAGGUAGUAGAUUGUAUAGUUGUAGGGUAGUGAUUUUACCCUGUUAGGAAGAUAACUAUACAAUCUAUUGCCUUCCCUGAGGAGUGACAUUUACUCCUUUUAUUCAACAGACAGUUUUUGUUUUAUUAACUGUAUUUUGUUAUAUAUUGACUAGUUAAAUUAUCUUUACUGAGAAGAACUUGUAAAAUAUUUCUUCAGCAUUUUAUUAUACAUAUAUUUUUUUUACUAAGUGCUGUCUCGUUUAACAGUUUUAAUCUGCUACAUCUUGAUAACUUAGUGAAAACUGUCCUUCCUUUAUUUUGUGGUGUAAAAGCAAACUUCUUUUUGCAUUUUGUUGAACUUUAUAAUUAAAAAACAGAUUAAAUAUGUCAAUUUAAAUAAUUAGUUACAUGA
Notolabrus celidotus (New Zealand spotty) is the source of this 821-nucleotide long non-coding RNA. RefSeq lists it as uncharacterized. The transcript is spliced from 2 exons. The record is from RefSeq and is a predicted model, not a curated record. NCBI's taxonomy places the organism in Eukaryota, Metazoa, Chordata, Actinopteri, Labriformes, Labridae.